Molecule: long non-coding RNA, 4350 nt
Filed under: Sus scrofa (pig)
Lineage: Eukaryota; Metazoa; Chordata; Mammalia; Artiodactyla; Suidae
Description: lncRNA (ENSSSCG00040009427.1)
Source: RNAcentral
UUUUUUUGUCUUUUUGCUAUUUCUUUGGGCCGCUCCCGCAGCAUAUGGAGGUUCCCAGGCUAGGGGUCUAAUCGGAGCUGUAGCCACCAGCCUACGCCAGAGCCACAGCAACGCGGGAUCCGAGCCACGUCUGCAACCUACACCACAGCUCACGGCAACGCUGGAUCGUUAACCCACUGAGCAAGGCCAGGGAUCGAACCCGCAACCUCAUGGUUCCUAGUCGGAUUCGUUAACCACUGCGCCACGACGGGAACUCCAAUUUCACUUAUUUCUUAAAGCAUCUGUCCCCAACAAGAUAAAUAUCCUCCUAUACAGACAAGGAAAUAAAACUCAGAGAAGUUAUUUUUACACGUUCAUACAGCUAGGAAGGAAUAGAAGGGGAGUUACCAUUUCCAUGUUUUUUCCACUCCACCACAUUGCUGACAUUAAAGCAGGGGACAGACCAUGAACUUACAUCCUUCCUUACUCUGGGUUUUCUUUAAUAUUCCUAAAAUCUGUAAUCUUGGGAAUGAAGGCUUUCAUUGUCUUUAUCCUCUGGGUGACUCAGCCUUUCAGCUAGAGUGUAGGUUUAAUGUUAUCUGAGACCCUAUUUGAAUGAACUUCAAAGGAAAAGAAGAGAUGGAGACAUGUUAUCGUCUGGCCCCCAGCCACAUUCUGGUUCCUGUUACUAAGGAUUGAUCCUGACUGAACUAAUUAAAGUUUAGUUCCUUUGCCUCCGGGCCAUCAGAACAGACAAAAACCAUUAACACUGGCCCCAGAAAUAUAAACUCCCUCUUUAGAUAAUAGUGCUAAACAGCCAAUAACUGCAGUGCUGCAGUCCUUGCUAAGGAAGGAAAAACAAACUAGAUAACCUUUCAGGAUCUUUCCAGACUUAAGAUUCUGGGAUCUAAAAGUGUUUUGACUUGAUGUCUGGUGUUUCAACAUAGCCCUGACUAGAUGAAAGAAAGAAUAAGAAGAGGCAACAGUUAAAUACAGAAUGUAAUUCAUUAAAGAAGCUGUGACAGUAAGGGCAGGAGAAACAGAGGAAGGGAUACAAUUUUGUGAGGUUCCCCCACAGCUAAAGGCUAUCAUUAGGAACAAAAUUAACAGAAAGACUCACCUCUUUAACAAGGUUUUCCUGAUAAAAUAGAAAGGCUUUCUUCCUCUCCCAACCCCACUCCCACUCUACCCCAGAGGAAUUCCUCUUCCUUUUGAAACAUACACUCUUUUUCCCAUUGUAGCCUGAAAAUCACUGCUAUCAUCCUUCCUUAUUCCUUUGAAGCAGAAAAAGCAUUGGGCCAACCUGGAAGCAGGUCUAUCUCUCCUUCCUACACAAUUAUUUGUGCUUGCUACACUUUAUUUAUUUUAAGAAAUUUUUUUGUGUCUUUUUGUCUUUUAGGGCCGCACCCAGAGCAUAUGGAGGUUUCAAUAUGACAGAAGGUAAAAAUUGUGGGGUAGUGGCUAUUUAUUGCUCAAAUGUUUGGAUUAUUGGUCUCCUUAAAUAUAUAAAAAUAUGUGAGGUCAACUUUGAGUUUAAUGAGCAAUCGUCUUAAAAGUCUAAAUAAAUAAAGAAAGAAUAGUUUCAACAAAUACGUCAAAGUUGACUCUGGCUUAAUGCUUCCCUAAACAUUGAGAAAGUCUAUUUUAUAAAGCUCCCCUUUGGAUGAAGUAACUGUUGUUUUCUUUUAAGUCAGACUCCCACUGAGUAGGUUGCUUCUGCCACAGCCAUGAUUUCAACCCAGGACUGAAUUCUUAAUGAUCUGCACUAAUGGACUCCCAAACUUUUAAAGUAAAUUAGGAAUUUUUUUCCUUUAAUUGCAUCUCUCGCUAGUCAGUGAAACCAGGUGUAUCUCACUUUAUUUAAACCAUGUAACAACUGGAAAGGAUGUUAAAGAACAACUAACCCAACUUUCAUUCACUAAAUAAGAAAAUAAAAUCCCAGGUAAAUGACAUACCUUGCUGAUAAAGACAAAAUUGUUUGCUCCUUACUCCUUAACCAGUACCCUUUCCACUGUGAUGAAUGACAAGGUUAAGCAGAUUUUUGUAACUGAAUUCCAUUUCCAGUGCAAUAGAGAAGUUGCAAUUUACCUCUUCAGCAGAGCUUUACACACACACACCAGAUUUGUUUUAUAAUGCUUAUAUGUUGCCCUAAUUUAUUUUAUGGAUUUACAAAUACAUUUAUCUAAGCAUUGUGGCAUAUCCAUGUUUCAUUUGUAGCUUAAAGAGAAGAAAUGAAGAAGUGAGGAGCCUGUGGGGAUGAGGGAGGUGAGAGUCAAAGAGUAGAACCAGGGAAGGCAAGUUUGGAAGGAUUUAUGCAGGUGUCAUUUUUCCCUUAGAACUUACAAUCUUAGGUUCUUUAUAUGAAUGUGUGCUGACAGCUCCCCAGCUCCACAGUUCCAUAGUAUUCUACAUGAACAUUAGUUAUAUCCUGGGGCAGAAGAAUUUAAAGAUUUGUAAAGUGAUUCAGCAUCAAUGUUGUUAAUGAAUCAGAUAUAAAACAGCAAUAGGAAUCAAUAAAAGGAAUGUUCCAUCCAUAUGUCUCAGUAAACAUUAUGCAUAUUUACAAGAACAAACAGGACAAUAUUAGUAACGAUACCAAACUUUCAACAAACAAUUAUUGAUUCUCCACUAAAUGCCAACAGUGGGUCAUAGGAUCACAAAAUUAUUGGCAGACCAGUAUAAUCAUUCUAGAGUCAAAUGUUCACCAAUUAAUAAGGUAAGAUUUAUCCAUUAUAGUGCAGUACAAACAUGUCCGACAAUAAGUGGGUUAAAGGCAAGCAUUAAGAUUGUUGUAAAAUUCGAAUUUGCAAUUCUCAGUGUUGCAAAAAUGGAAAAGGACAGAAUUAUACAUGUUCAAGGAAAUGUCUUUCAUCUCCCUGUGUUCUGCCUACUUCUCAGGCUUUCUAUGGAGAUAGGGGUAGGCUGAUAGCAAUAAAUGUUACCCAGCAUUGAAAUCUGUCUUCCUCCCCAAGGUUGGCCCAACAGUCAUUAUCAACUGCCUAGUAACAAUCUCACUGCUGUUACCUAAGUCCUACUACUUUCUUUUACAUACAACUUUCAAAAAUAAUCUGUGUUUUUGACAGCAGGAAGUGAGAAUAGGUCUAAUUUGCAGUUGCUAGCCAGCAUUGCUAGAGAAAAAUUCCUUUGCUAUAUUAUCUCUUUAAGAAUCAUUUUGAGAUUAUUUCUAGAGUCAAAGUCAUCAAAAAGAAAACCUGAGCCUGUAAUAGAAAGGAGAACAGAUCCAUUGAACAACAAAACCUUCUUAAGCAACUACUGCCAGUGCCUUUAGAGGUGAAGUUAGGUGUACAAGGAUCACCUUUAUUUCCUUUAAAUAGCAUUGGAGCAAACAAAAUUUAAUCAAAUCCAUUAUUAAGAAAUAGGAAGGAGAGAAACAUCCCGACUUCUCUGCAUCAGGUAGGAAUGUUAGGUUAAAUUUUCUAACAAGUCAGAUGUCUGUUCUCCUUCUGUUUAUUUAGUCUGGAUGCUUAGGAUUCCCUCCAGAAUAUUGUCUAGUAUAAGGACAACCACAGAGCCUCAAAGAUGUUCUCUAAAAAACAAUGUUAGAUAAUAAAUAAUCUCUAUGUCCCAAGGGCUGUCUUCUAUCCAACAAUCCAGCUACUUCUAUCUGAUGAAAUCAAGAUACAAAGAACAAUGAAAAAAUCCUCUCUGCCCCAUUGAAAACCUGAGUCUUCCUCUCCUAGUCCAUGUACGUAAUAAAGUUAAUAUUUAUAUAGUUCUAAUAUGUGCCAGACAGUGUUCUGAGUGUUUCAUAUACAGAAAUUCACUCAAUCCCCAUUACCAGUUAACAAGGUAGAUACUUAGCAGAUUCAUUUUACUGUUAAGGAAACAGAUACAGAGAGUUUAAAUAAAUUGCCCAAUACCACACAAAUAGUAAGUAGUGGAGCCAAAUUCAAACCCAGCCAGUUUGAUGAUGGAUUCCACACUCUUAACCAUACACUUUUGACUGUGAAAGAGCACCUCUAAAAUAGGCAUCUCCUCAGAGGAAAUGAUGUUCUGGAUAUUAAAUGAUGUAUGAUCUGUCUCAUACUGUAUCAGUCUCCUAGCACAGAUCUUUCAAAACCUCUUUGUCACUAACAGAGAGGAGGUAAUUCCCAGUUUUGAAUCAAGCACCUGUUUCACCUGUUUUGACACACACUACAAUGGCCCUCUAUUGCCUCUGGGUAUCCUCCCCUGGGUGGAGAUUUUCCUUAUCUCCAUCCCUUAAAACAAAAUAACUCAUUCUCACCUUUCCAGGCAUGAGUGGGGCAAGGCUGCAAGUCCUUUGCACAUUUUGGCAAGUGGCUUAGUCCCUCAGGUUUGAGCACAAGUCCUUAUCAGCAGAGCAAGUCUUUGAAAACUUCAAAAUGGUCU